RNAcentral lists this long non-coding RNA (238 nucleotides) under Felis catus (domestic cat). Its description in RNAcentral is "lncRNA (ENSFCAG00000042448.2)". Lineage: Eukaryota; Metazoa; Chordata; Mammalia; Carnivora; Felidae. The record is from RNAcentral.
ACUGGAUUGACUUCUCCCUUCUCAUUUUUCUUGAGCCAAUCAGAGGUGAUGGUGGCAUGAGUUCACAUGGAAUGACAAGGCAGACAAAUAUCAGCGUCAUCUUGAUUCUUUCUUCCAGUCAUUCAGCUGGAUGGCGGAUCCACUUUUCCUAAAGUUGGUUUUAAGGAAUGAUGAAACAACCAGAUAAUUGCAUCACAGUGGAUGAAUUGUCACUAAAAUAAAGAAGACAUGGAUGCCA